UAACAAUCAAACCUGAAAUCCCAUAAACCUAUGAAUAAAUUAUGGCCUCCAUUAGAUUAUAGUCCAAUAUUAACCAUUGAAUAGUCAUGGAUAAUCCCAUAAAUAAUGGCAUCAGAUCGUCUUCCUCCUAUUUUUUCAGUUCAUCUAUCUCACCCUUCCUUUUUUUAAUCUUAUCUCUCUUUGCAACAAAAAUUAUAUAUGGAGAUAAAACUUAAUUUGGUGUGCUUUAUCUCUUUUUCCGAAAUUAUCCAAUAAACUUGAAAAAGCUUUCAGACUCCAGAUUUUUUUCUUAAAUUCCGUUUGGGCAGAUUUAUUUCAGGGAAAAAAAAUGAAGCGGCACUUUUGGUUUGUCAGAUGAGACAUAGAAAAAGGAAAAUUGCAGACGAGAAACAUAGGAAACGGAAUGUGAAAGAGAGACGGUUGAGUGAUGAUUCGGUGUAAAUGAUCGGGGCCUUUUAUGCACUUCUCUUUUUCCAAUUCUUCUUUUCGCCGUGUAUCCUCAACUACCAACAGCUGCUACUCGGCUCGAAUGCUUCUCCUCGACGGCACCCUUGGGUUUUGAGUGGCUGUUAAAGUGCAAUUAGUACUAUUUGGUAAGAUUAUGGGAGCGCUCAUUGUGCAGUUGACUCGCUCACCUCCAUUUUUCGUUGAUCCAGUUGUUUCGUUUGGUUCAUUCUCUUGGUGGUGGUGGCCUUGUGAUGGAGGCACAUUGGCUGACUUGGUGGCGACUGCUGGUUUCCGCUCCAUUUUUAGGAUUUUUUGUUGUUUCUAAUUUGGGUCCUUUUGGGCUUUCUAUUAUAUUUUCUUUGUUAUGUUGAGCUUGUAUUUAGGUUGUGGACUAUCUUUUGGACUUUCUUCUGCUUA
Long non-coding RNA from Pyrus x bretschneideri (Chinese white pear), 864 nucleotides. RefSeq lists it as uncharacterized. The record is from RefSeq and is a predicted model, not a curated record. The transcript is spliced from 2 exons. Lineage: Eukaryota; Viridiplantae; Streptophyta; Magnoliopsida; Rosales; Rosaceae.